GCUGGAAAAAGCUCGGGUUCGACAAGCCACCUCGAGCUCGUUGUGGCUCCGCUCAAGACAGCUCGUGAACUCCUGGAGAGCCGAGCCAAGCCGGUUUUCUGAGCUCGGUAAAGGGGCGGGUCAAGCCAAUCCAACUCGUAUGAGCUCGCAAGCUGGCUCACAAGCUAGCCCUUGCACAACGCUACAGGCUACAACCCACAACGUCCCAUAAUCCCAAGGCCUAAUCUUGCAAUAGACCAACAUGUUACAUGUACAUAGGUUACAAAGGUUACAAGUAAGGAACACAACAUAACCACCCCACCCCUAAUCCUAUAUGUUGCGUCUGUGUGGUGGCUGGUUACUCGAGAGACGACCGAGAGCUCGAGACUAGAACACUGGACGACGUCGCGUCGAUGCCGC
This 399-nucleotide long non-coding RNA is filed under the name Zea mays. RNAcentral describes it as "drought responsive lncRNA". The record is from RNAcentral. Lineage: Eukaryota; Viridiplantae; Streptophyta; Magnoliopsida; Poales; Poaceae.